ACUGCACUCCAGCCUGGGUGACAGAGUGAGACUCCGUCUCAAAAAAAAAAAAAAGAUUUAUUAUGGAGUUUUUACACAUACAAAAUAGAAUUGUACAAUAAUUCCCCAUGUGCUUAUCAAUCAGCUUCAAUCAUUAUCCACAUUCAGCAGUCUUGUUCUUGAAGGCCUUUUAAGUGGACCCUCAGAAAUAAAAAAUGAACUUUGUAGGAUUUCAGGCAUUGGAGUGGGGUCUAUAGUAUGGUUGUGCAAGGGUUCUCUUGUUCAGUCCAUGGAGAAUGAGGGGAAAAAAAAAGAAGCACUGUGUUCAACAGGCCCAGCCAUGGAGAGCUGUGCUGUCUACAGUUCUAUCAAAGGCAGGAAGGUGGAUUGGAUGCUGGUGGAAGGGGGAAGCGGGUUUCCAACCCCAGUGGAAAGUACAAAAUGUUGGAAGACUCUUUAGAGUUAAAAGAAAUGCAAAUUAGCACAGCCCACUUCUCCCACCAAAACAAAUUGCAUGUUUGUGAUAGCCAAGUAAGAUUAAUGCUCAGAUGUCACCAUCUGAGAAACAGUCUUGAAUCAGGAUUCAUUUGUUUUGACCUCGCUCUGGUCCUCUCUGCUCCUAGUUAAUGAUUUACAAGUGACACCUUGGAAACAGCUAAGGGGUCCUCUCUCCCUGUCCUUUUUAAGGGCAGGAAGUAAUCCUGUGCCUGGGGACUAUCCCAUCACCCCUUAUUAGAGCUGCACCCAGGACACUGUUGGAGCUGACCAGAGCUUUGUUCAAUGAGAUGGCAGGUCCCCAGCCUGACACUCUGCUGACAGCUGCUGUUUCCUUUCUCUCUCUCCCUCAUGCCAGAAGGACAUUUAUGUAAGCACCACUGGCUCAGGACUGAGUAGAACAAGUUAAGAAAUGACAAGGCUAGACUCAGCAGGAUGGUGGCGUGCAUUCUCCCGUACUGAGGAAGCACAGCCCAGAACUGCCAAGAUGAGCUUGAGUCACUCUCAGGAGAUUCCCGUCCUGGGGGUUUCUUCUCCUGUCAUGCUCUUCAGUGCCCACAACUUUAUUCCUGGGAUGGAGGCAGCUGCCAGCCCUAAUACCUAGCUCACAGGGGAGUUGUGAGUAUCAAAUGAGAUUGUGAAUGAGGAGGCAUUUUGUUAACUGCAAAACGCCAUGCAAUUUUAAAGGACUGUCAUUUCCACUACUCUUCUCCUUAUACCUGGACACCUGCCUCCCAUACCAAGUUGUACCUCCUUUCAGCCUGAAGUUCAAGUCUUUUUACUGAAGAGGAAAGCUUCAUUCAGGAUCUAUUUCUGAAUGACAGCCACUCCUGCAAAGAAUCUACCAAUAUUUAUCAUUCACAUGCAAAAAUGUGUCAUACAUAUUUAGCAAGCGCCCCAUGAAUUUCUUGUGCCUAGCAACCAAAACAGAAAAAGGAACAUAUGGAAUCUGUGGUUGUUUGAUACCAAUUUGAUCUGAAUGAACAAACAAAUUAGCCCAUUUUUCCAAAUAUGAACCUGGUACCACUAGUAUUGCCUGUGAGUGGAGAUAAAUACGCUCUUGCUACUUGUAUUUUAUUAGCUAUUUCUAUUCUUUCAAAAUGCAAUAUUUAUUCUUGGGAAAGAGAAAGAACCACUGGAUCUAAUACAUGUGUCUUUGGACACUCCAGAGCACUUCCCUAUUCCCUGCUUUUUCCAAGUCAAAACAUUUGAACUUCAAGAUUCUUUCCUCCCUACUAAGCCAUUGUAUCAGGCAUCACAGCAGUCACAAUUUUCUCCAGAGGAAAGCAUAUGGCCCUUAACUCCACUUCAGGCAGUGAACCCUGUGGGAGGGUGCGAAUAGAAAGAAGCCAGAACAAAAAACAUCUUUUCUGUUGGGCUGUUGUCUGAAAGGUGCCUCUGCUCUGAGGAGGCAGAUUCCAGCUCUACAUAAGGAAGAACUUUCAAGCAAUCAGGGUGGCCAGAAGAUAGAGUGGACUCUCUCAAAGAGAAUCAGCUCCUCACCAGCAAGUGUGGGCAGCCACUUGGAAUUGAUUCUGUACAGGGAGUUUCAAAGUACAAGAUGCUGGACUAGUUGCACAAAAUGGCCCUGCCAACCCUAGGAGCCUAUGGGUCUACAAGAGAGCUGAACAGUUUCAUAACAAAACACAGGAGGUCUCCUCUGUGAUAUUGUUUGAAUGAAAUGGAAAGAUCCUGCUUAAAAAUAUCUUCUUCAUUGACACCUGAAAUUCUGUCAUCAGUAAUUUCUUCCUUUGAGUCAAGCAUUUCUCUUUUCCUGAGGUCUUUUCCUUUCUUUGGGAAGGUGUAACAAUUUUACAACUUCAUCCUUGGAAGAAAAGAACUUACAAAGAUCUUUUUCCCCCUCUUCUGAGAGAAAAAAAGAUGGAAACCCAUAAAAAUCACUGAGUGGGAAGCAAAAGAAGAAAGAGGAAAAGGAAAAGGAAAAGGAAGGGAGGGAGGGAGCGAGUAUCCUCUUGCAGAAAGAACUUUGAUAAACUCAGUGUGCCAAUGACCACAUCUGAUCACCUAGGUUAUUAUUGGUACUGAUAAUCAUUAUUAAAAUAAAUAAUGGUUUGAGCAUUUAGUAGGUAUCAGGCACUGCGAAGAGCUCUUAACAAACAGAAUCGAACAAAACUUCCAAGAACCCAAUGAGGUUUUAUUAUUCCCAUUUUACAGAUCUGUAAACUAAGGUUUAGCAAGGUUAGGUACCUACCUAGAUCACAUAGCUAGAAAAUGGAAGAGUCAAGAAGCUAAUUCAGUGUCUGAUCCACAGUUGGGAUUCAGUAAAUACUUACAGAAUGAAUACAUCAAAUUUUAAUCAGAGAGAGAUGAUCAUGGGACACUCCUGUAUCAUAAAUCACUACCAUUUUUAUAGGGCAGUUUGACUCUAAAACCUGGGCUUAUGACCACUCUCCAGCUGCCUGUCAUCCUCCUAUUUUUCUCAUUUAAUGACUUCAACCUUAGAGAUCCCCCAAACACAAACACAUGCUACCUGUGAAAUCUACCCUGAAAAAAGUAUGCGAACAAAUGAAAUUAGAGUUUCCCUUCCACUUUUCUUAAGACAUUACUUUUUCUACCCACUAUUGACCUCCCUUUUCCUCAUUCCUUAAAAAGAAAUUGUUACAUCAUUGUAUUUUCUCACCUAGGAAAGUCUCCGUAAGUAGCAGCCACCCUCAUUUCAACACCCUGGGACCCCAGGACCGCCAGAGAGAGGUGUGGUAAGGAGAGCAAAUAUAUCAGAGUGAGGAAUAAAUGCCUGCCGAGCUCAUUAGCACCCAGGCACAGAGAAGGAGCCUGCUAUUUUUAUCAAAUGUACCUUCGCUUAAAUAAAUUGCAGAGAAACUUGACAGAAAAAGGGUUCCUUUGGAAAUUUUUGUUCCUUCUAAUAAAGACAGACUAUCUUGUAUGCCCUUUCUAGCCUGGUAGCUAUCCUCAGACCUGUAACAUGUGGGGUUGGAAAGCCACCUGUGUACAUUUUUACAUUUGCUCCCUCAUGAAAUCUCUAUCUCAGCCGCUUGCUUUUCGGUUCUAGCCCAGGCACAAACCUGACGGGAAACAUAUAAAAGCUUUGUAGCUCAGGUGGAGUGCCACCUCUAUGACCGGGAAUUAGGGCUUUGCCUCUUUCCUGUGAUUCACCAGCAGAGUUUUGAUCACUCAGUGUAGUUCCAAUGAUAUGAUUCCUUUAGCCAAGACUAGUUCAUGACCCAACGCAUGAGCUGAAUUCAAUUUUUUUAGAUGAGAAUUUAAUUAUACCCACUUGCUUUCUCAUGCACAACUUUGCCAGCGUUUUAGGGAUGCUCCAGGAUUAUUUCCUAGCCUGGUUGUGCACCAUGCCUAUCCUCAACCCUUGGGCCAAAAUAUUUGUCUUAAGCUCAGGAGUCAUAGCCACCUGGAACCUCUGUGCUGACAGCUUACACUUGCAGAAUUAGCUCCCAUUACUUAAACACACACACACACACACGCAUGUGUGUGUGAUACUUACUGAUUGUUUUCAAUAAAAGACAAAAAUGAGCCUAGGCCAGACAUGAUGGCUCAUGCCUAUAAUCCCAGCAAUGUGCAAAGCAGAGGUGAGAGGAUCACUUGAGCCCAGGAGUUCUAUGUUCUCCCUGGGCAGCACAGGGAGACUCUGCCUCUAUUUGUAAAACAAAACAAAACAAAACCUAAAAAUACUUUUCCCUCCACUCUUCCUCCCAAAAGCAAAUUUCAGGAGAUGUUCUGUGACUUUCUGUCUCAUAAGCUAGUUUUUUCCAGAAUCUCCAAAAUUAGUUGCUUCUUGAAUAUUCUCAUUAAUUACUAACAUUCUCAUAUUGACUUUUUGAAGAUUUGGCAAAAUAUAUCAACAAAUUUUAAGACAUGCCUACUCUGUAAUCCAGCUAUUCUAAAGACACAAUCUGGUAAGUCCGCAAAGAUUUUCACUCCUCUAUUGGUAUCAUAGCAACAAUUGAUAACAACCAAAGUAUCCAAAAUUAGGGAUCUGCUCUAGUAAGUUGUGGUACCACCAUAUCAUAGGACUUUUGUCUACUAGUUAAAACCAUGUUGUUAAGGUAUUUGUUGGUGUAGAAAAUAUUAACCAUCUCUCUUUUUUUUUUUUUUUGAGACAGGGUUUCACUCGCCCAGGAUGGGGGGACUGGCGCGAUCUCGGCUCACUGCAACCUCCACCUCCCACGCUCAAGUGAUUCUAGUGCCUCAGCCUCCCAAGAGACUGGGAUUACAGAUGUGUGCCAUCACACUCCACUAAUUUUUAUAUUUUUAGUAGAGACAGGGUUUCACCAUGUUAGCCCGACUGGUCUUGGGCUCCUGGCCUCAAGUGAUCUGCCCACUUCGGCCUCCCAAAGUGCUUGGAUUACAGGCGUGAGCCACCACACCCAGCCUUAACCAUCUAUUACUAAGCGGAAAAAAGGUACAAAACAGUAUGUACAGAGAGGCAACCUCUGGAAAAGCAACCUCUAUGGUCAAAAUAAACAUAUGGAGGAAAGAUAACAUAAAAUUGUACAAAAAGGAAGGAGUUCAUUGAAGAAAACAAUCAUUUGCAAAAAGCUUGGCCCCCACCUGGAGACAGGUUCAAGAUGAAGUGGCUCCUGCUGCAGACCCUGAUCAACACCCAGACUUUUCAUAUUCAGAAAAUCAAAACCAGGUCACAGCUUCCAGGAGUCUAUCCAGCUUCUGCUGAUCUGCUCAGAGGACUGACUGGCCCACAACAUCUGCUCCCAGGUCAGACCAGGGUGUCCACAAGGCAAGGUCCAGGAUACCCAGCCGCUGUCCACCACAAUGUGAUGGGAUGACACAGGAAGAGGAAAUUUGGACACACAAAGUGACACCACGGCUACAGAUGCAUAAAGGAAAAACCAUGUGAAGACAUCUUGAGAAGACGAUCACCUGCAAGCCAAUGAGAGAGGCCUCAGAAGAAACGAAACUUGUCAGCACCUUGAUUUUGGACUUCCAACCUCCAGAGCAGUGAGAAAAUAAAUUUCUGUUGUUUAAGCCAGCCAAUCUGUGGUAUUCUGUUAUGGCACCAGCUUUAGCGAACUAAUACACGUAAUAAAAUGUAAAGAAAACAAAACCAAUGUAAAUAACAUUUUCUAAGUUCCAUCUAAAUAAAGUUUUCCAGCCUUCCAAGAUGAAUGCUUACACCACUUUUUUAGAAACCCGCUGUCUUGAGUUUAGAUCUUUUGAUUUCUU
This 5652-nucleotide long non-coding RNA is filed under the name Homo sapiens (human). RNAcentral describes it as "HSALNT0218394". Lineage: Eukaryota; Metazoa; Chordata; Mammalia; Primates; Hominidae. The record is from RNAcentral.